UACGAAGGGGGCUAGCGUUGCUCGGAAUUACUGGGCGUAAAGGGCGCGUAGGCGGCCAGAUUAGUCAGGCGUGAAAGCCCUGGGCUCAACCUGGGGACUGCGCUUGAUACGGUUUGGCUUGAGGACGGAAGAGGCUCGCGGAAUUCCCAGUGUAGAGGUGAAAUUCGUAGAUAUUGGGAAGAACACCGGUGGCGAAGGCGGCGAGCUGGUCCGUACCUGACGCUGAGGCGCGAAAGCGUGGGGAGCAAACAGG
Molecule: ribosomal RNA, 253 nt
Filed under: uncultured bacterium
Lineage: Bacteria
Description: partial 16S ribosomal RNA
Rfam family: Bacterial small subunit ribosomal RNA
Source: RNAcentral